This 253-nucleotide ribosomal RNA is filed under the name uncultured bacterium. RNAcentral's name for it is "partial 16S ribosomal RNA". It matches the Rfam family "Bacterial small subunit ribosomal RNA", at positions 524 to 776 of the family's 1533-position model. The record is from RNAcentral.
UACGUAGGGUCCGAGCGUUGUCCGGAAUUAUUGGGCGUAAAGGGCUCGUAGGUGGUUUGUCGCGUCGGGAGUGAAAUCCCUGGGCUUAACCCAGGGCCUGCUUUCGAUACGGGCAGACUAGAGGCAUUCAGGGGAGAACGGAAUUCCUGGUGUAGCGGUGAAAUGCGCAGAUAUCAGGAGGAACACCGGUGGCGAAGGCGGCAUCCUGGACCGACACUGACGCUGAUGAGCGAAAGCCAGGGGAGCAAACGGG